AUACAUCUGGCCUCUGGACUGUAAAGUCAGGUUUCAGGGUGGUGAAUGGUAAAACUGCAGCUCAGAUGAGUAGACUGGAAACAAUACUACAGACUUAUAUCGGUCAUAUACACCCCUAAUUUCCAGGUGAAGCUGGUGGCUAAGUCAGAAGUCACAUCAUGUUGGGGUGGGGUUGUGACAAGAAGUUGGCGGAACUGAGUGUGGAGGAGUGAGCCGAGUGAGGCAGGGACCUCUCCUUACUGACGAGAUCAUCUCACCUGAGUGUUGAGUUUUUGAAUAUCAGGUCCCGAUUGUGCAAUUACACAGAGGGGUACAAGGUACAUGCCGUGGGGCUGAAAAUCUACCACUCAACAAAGAUCUGCC
Bombina bombina (fire-bellied toad) is the source of this 363-nucleotide long non-coding RNA. RefSeq lists it as uncharacterized. Lineage: Eukaryota; Metazoa; Chordata; Amphibia; Anura; Bombinatoridae. The record is from RefSeq and is a predicted model, not a curated record. The transcript is spliced from 3 exons.